Molecule: long non-coding RNA, 6002 nt
Organism: Dreissena polymorpha
Lineage: Eukaryota; Metazoa; Mollusca; Bivalvia; Myida; Dreissenidae
Exons: 2
Source: RefSeq, a predicted model, not a curated record
AUGGAUAGAUGGCAAUAUGGACAUUAUGCACGUCAUUUCAUUUUGUUCCUACGUCAAAAAUUCUUGUUGCUAUGGCAACAAAUAGACUAGAAAUACUGCUGAAAAUGGUGGUUUUCUGGAUCCUGCGAUUGCUUUAAAAGUUCUUAAUAUUUGUUUAUGAAACUUGGAACAUUGAUAGAUGGCAAUAUGGACAUAAUGCACGUCAUUUCAUUUUGUUCCUAUGUCAAAAAUUGUGGUUGCUAUGGCAACCAAAAAAAAAUAUCUGAAAAUGGUGGAAUUUCUGACAAUGGUGGAGCCGGUAGGGGACCAUGUUGCUUGACAAAAGCCUUGUUACCUUAUGCUAUUAACGUAAUUGAAUAGCUCAGACAUAUCUACAAAAGAUUCAGGGUGUGUGAAACUCAAUAUGAGAUUAAUAUUCAAGGCUAUUCAAUUUAUUUGUUCUUAUGUGGUAGGAGUCAUAACUUGAAUGUAUGUCCAUCAUUAGCUAGCACCAUAUUCAACCAUUCUGGAAGUUUAUUACAUCAUUUUUCAUCUACAAAGAAGUCAUUUUAACACAUAUUAUAUUGUGAAUAUUAUUGUAUUGUUAUUUGUCAUUUCUUAAAUACGCAAUUAGAAGUUGUUCUAAACGUAACCCUUAGAUGAGAACAGCACAUUUGUUUUAUUGGGAUUAUUUUUUGUUUUAACUGCCAGCUAUUUAUCAAUUGAUUAAACAUAUAAUAAAUAUCAACAACAAUUUUUACAUUGUUGAAUUGUGCAUUUGAGAAUGGUUGUAUUAUGUGGCAAAUGUUCUUGGUUUUUACCCUUUCCCACUCAGAAGCAAAGUGAAAAGGUCUUUUGAACACAGCAUAAAAACCAGAACAGCCUAUGAGUAACCCGCAGGCUGUUCAGGCUUUAUGCUGUUUGCUGCUCAUCAGUAUCUAAGGUUUGAAGAUGAAGCUUUAACAACUGAAAUCUAGUAAGAAAGGUCUUAUAUUAAAUACAACUUUCUAAAGGACUACAAAUGCGGGAGAAUACGCAUCUAAGUGGUAAAGGGUUAAUGUAAUCCCACACAUUGGAUCAUUAUUAAGUUGUCCGUACUUGCCAUGAUGUGAGGAACAUUCUUAACAUUGACUUAUGUCACAUUCAAUUAGUUAUAAAUACCUGGUAGCAUUUUGAAAGUACUGAACAGUUUAUGUAAAAAAAAUAUGCAAAGAAAUAUAAGCUUGGUUUAAAAUCGCAGGAAAAUCUCUGUUGAAAACAAAAAAAUUGGUGUAUGCAGUUCUGUGACGAAAUGUUUCUUAGUAACAUAAUGGGGACAUUUUAAAAUCCAGCUUUAACUUCAUAUCUUUGUUAAUGGUAGCUUAGAUCUUAAAUAAAUGUAAAUCAAAGACUGGUAAGAUAAAUGUGUACACAGUUCUGUUUUGAAAUCAAUGCUGUACACGAUAAUUUAAUAUACAUGUAUAUAUAAAUACAGAAAACAUGUUUGAACAUUAAUACAGCUCAUAAGUUUUAAAUGACAUAGAAUCUACUGUGCUUGUUAUUCAUUUAACUCUUUCAGUGCGGGAACCGAAUUUUGAAGGCCUUUGCAAACAGUUUGGAUCCAGAUGAGACGCAACAGAACGUGGCGUCUCAUCUGGAUCCAAACUGUUUGCUAUUCUGAAAAAAAAAUCGAAGAAAUGCUAAUAGUAGAAAUUCAGCAGACGAAAUUUUAGCAGACCAUAUAUUUCCCAGCAUGCAAAGGGUUAAAUGUAUAGAAAUGCUUUUGGCAGUUUGUAAUUUGUUGUACAUAAUACAGGUUGUGUAUAUUCACAUUUUGUUUGUUAACUUAUGUAAAAAGAUUUACAGAAAUAUAGAAAAGCAAUGAGCAUAUGUUUUUGUUGAUGCAUUUAUCUUAAGGUAAAAAUGUGUGUGGUUUCUCUGAUGUUUUUAUGUUUUAGCAUGUAUAAAUAUGUCUCCCAUUACUUUAGUGCUAUAAUAACUCUUUCCUUAUAUUGCUUUCAUAUGAAAACUUUAAGUAAACAUUUCAGUUAUACCCAUUUAGAAUUUCUAACACAUUAUUAUAACAGCUGUGCAGCUUAACCCAUUUAUGCCUAGUGGGCUCUCCCAUCCUUCUAAAUUGGAUAAAUUUAUUUACAAAAUAAGGGAUGUCUAAUAUAUUUAUUUCUAUAUUUAGGAUAUUUCUUACAGAAAUUCCUUUAAGCAAACAGCGUAGACCCUGAUGAGACGCCGCAUCAUGCGGCGUCUCAUCUGGGUCUACGCUGUUUGCCAAGGCCUUUUUUCUAGAAGCUAGGCAUAAAUGGGUUAAUAUAACGUGUGGCGAUGAGGGAUAUUCUGUAUUUGUCAUUACUGUGACAAUCUCUGGUUUGUGGGGGUUGUGUACACAGUUGUAUCCCAAUUUAUAAGGAAUGCUUUAUUUGAUUUAAAACAUUUUUGUGCUUUAUAUAUAUAUAUGUAUCAGCAAAAUUAACUACUCCAACUGAACUGAUUAAGGCCAUGUCUUUUAAUGCAAAUAAACAGUGAUUAUUUGUUAAUAAUUUUUGUAUAUAUUUUGCUUUUAUACAAACACAUUGUCAGCGUGUAUGCAUUCAAAUUCUGUCCACAUGUGUUAUGAUUGUAUAAAGUGAACUGCAUUAGAGACUGGUUCUGGGAAAAUGGCGCCUAUUGCAUGUGCGUAAAGUGUGGUCCCAGCUUAGCCUGUACAGUCUGCACAUGCCCCAUUUUGCCUGAGCAAGCUUAUUUCUUGAUGCACUGGUUGUUCUUCAAAAAGUUUCCCCUCAUGAAUUUCUAUAUGACAGUUUAGUAUGUUGAAUGUAUUACCAGUUAAACAUGUUUAUAAAUAAUUGCGGGUAUAUGCUAGAACAAGUUGAUGUGUUGUUAAUUGUUUUGCUUUGUCAAAAUAUGUACAUGUACUGGCACUUGUUUACAAUAUUAUACUAAUUUCAGUAUUUGUUGAUUUUGAUUUGUGUACUUUUUUCGUGUAUUUGUAUUACUGUUUUGUCAUUAUUUCUCAAUAUUGUGCACAAGUUGUAUACAUUACAUAAUACGUCAUAAUCAGCAAUUGUAAAUGCUUGCUUUUAAUUAUUUCUUCUAUUUGUUUCUCUGCAUGAAUUUUUAUGCCCCCAGUAAGGUGGCAUAUAGCAUUUGAACUGUCUGUCCGUCCUUCAGUCCGUCCGAAAACUUUAACAUUGGCCAUUACUUUUGCAAUAUUGAAGAUAGCAACUUGAUAUUUAGCAUGCAUGUGUAUCUCAUGGAGCUGCACAUUUUGAGUGAUGAAAGGUCAAGGUUAAUGUCAUCCUUCAAGGUCAAAAGUAAAAAAUAAAAUCCAAGGGAAGUAAUAAGCUUUAAAAGGGAGAUAAUUUCCAAACCUGCCAAAUGAUAUAUUGAAAUUUUAUUUCAAACUGGCGCAAUAGGGGGCAUUGACAAACACAUCUCUUGUUUUAAUUUUCUUUAAAAAUUAUGUUUAUUUUUAUACCAUCUCUAUAAAAAGCUAUGUACAAGUUGUAACAGAUAGUAAGUUUUUUUUGCAUUUUUUAAAACUUAAAAUUCACAAUAAGCUGUUGAACUUUUAGCCUUUAUUUUUGAUGAGUAGAAUAAUUUCAACUUAAAUGUAUAACUUCAUUUUGAUGUGUUUAGCAUUUCAACCAGCAUCAUUGAAUCCUGUUUUCUUCAAAGUUUUGACCUUAUUUUUUUCUUUUAAUCUUCAAACUUUCAUUUAUUAUUGCUCUUUAAAACUAUAUCUGCAAAUGUAUUGGACGCUGGUUUAACCAUGAUUUUCUUUUCUUUGCCAUGUGUUUGCUUGUGUUAAUUUAAUGGGCAUUCUUUUUACACAAAACUUGUUUGAAACCAGAAUUAAACAAAGUGCCAUUGUGCUAUUAUUAUUUUAAGUUAAAGGAUAUCUUGUUUUAUUUGAAACAUGGUUGUGAGAUUUGCAUUGACUUAUUUGUUUCAGUUAUAGUGUUUUAAAUAUGUCAGAUUCAAUCACAGUUUACUAUACUUUAAAUAAGUUUUGUUGAUAAUGUAUUGAAUUUAAAUUAUCUUUGUUAAAUUUAAAGAUCUGUAAAAAAAAAAAGCAUUGGUUUGGAAAUAAAACGCAUACUUGUUUGAAGAUUUACACAUAUUUAUGCUCCCCAAAAAAUUUUGAGGGGAGCAUAUAGUCGCCCCAUCGUCUGUCCGUGUGUGUUUCCGUCUGUCCGUGCACAAUUUUUGUCCAGGCUAUUUCUCAGCAAUAAAUGACCGGAAUUCAAUGAAACUUUAUGGGAAGCUUCACUACCAAGAGGAGAUGUGCAUAUUAUCAGCCGGUUCUGGUCGGAUGAUUUUUCACAGAGUUAUGGCCCUUUGAAAUUUUCAAUUAACUGUACAUAUAGUGCAAUUCGUGUCCCGGCUAUUUCUCAGCAACUAAUGACCGGAAUUCAAUGAAACUUUAUGGGAAGCUUCACUACCAAGAGGAGAUGUGCAUAUUAUCAGCGGGUUCUGGUCGGAUGAUUUUUCACAGAGUAAUGGCCCUUUGAAAUUUUCUAUAAAAAAAUUAUUGUCCCCCCCCCCAACUACUGUGCCCUCAAGACGUUUCCUGUUAUCUGAAUAUAUAGUGCAGUAUUGUGACAAAAAAAACUUUGGGGAGCAUCACCCGUCUCGGACGGUUUCUUGUUUGUUUUGAGCCUUUGUUUUUUUGAAAUUGUACUAAAAAUAUUUUGUGAAACUUGUCUAAGCCGAACCCAUGAUUCUAGUUUCAGCAGUGUUUGAUUUGUCAAGGUUUGGACAGAAUGCAUUAUUCUCUCAGUAUAGACACUGUGUUUAACCUGUUUUAAUUGUUUAAAUAGUGGACAAGAACAGGUUUAAGUUAACACUUUUAAUACCGUUCAUAUUUUUUUGCAUUAUAAAAAUUAUAUUUAUUAGUAUUUUGUUUUCAUGUGGUUUGGUUUUGACAGGUUUAUUUGUAUAUGUCAACUUUUUAACUGAUUUCAGAAAGGCAAAUAAUAUAAUGCCCACUCACCAUUUAUGUGUUGAUAACUGCGUAGGUGUGUUAUGCUUGUGAACUACAGGGUUAUUUUGUGUUCAAUUUCUUACAUUUGACUUUAUUGUUUUGUCUUCUUGUGUAAUAAAAUGUUAACUUUCAUUAAUUGAAAUAAUGCAUUAAACAGAUUUAUAUAUUCUUAUACAGUGAAUCUUAAUUAACUCACCUCAGCACACAGUUAUUGGUAUAGGGCAUCUGGCCUGAAUUUUCGGUAGAAAAAGAAGUCUUUAUUGGAGAACAAACCUUGGGUUUAUUGGAUUGUCUUGGUCAAAAUGAAGUAAUUCAGCACGAGAAACAUAAUUGUAAGGACAUUUGCUUCUCUCCCUUUGCAGGACAGAAACGGAUGCAAUACAGUGAUACGUGUAUACAUGUACAGAAAAGCUGUGGGUUUUAUAUAUAUAUAUAUAGUCCAACUUGUUAUUAUAAUUAUUUUGAUUAUUAUUAUUUUAACAUGUUGUUUUCUUAAAUUUUUCUCCGGUAUCAAUAGAUAAGGCUUCAGCCACUUCAAGCAUAGUACGGUACAUAUAGGUGUUGCUUAUAAGAAAUAAACCUUUGUUAUUUAGGUAAUGUCUGUUACUGCUAAUGUUAAAAUGAACUAAUAAUUCGACUUUCAAACACAAAUUGUUUACUAUUGCAAUAUAAUUGAUAAAAUACGUCUAAUAGAUCUGGUGUAAAGAAAUAAAAAACAAUAUUACACAAUUGAGUAUUUGUUGAAUUAUCAUCCAAUUUAGAGGUGCGUCUUGAGCCACCAUGGACCUCUUGUUAGCAUUAAAAAAACGUUGGCACAUACGAAUGGUACGCACGUUUUUUAUGUAUCAAAUAUGAUGAUACUUUGAUAAUUUAGUUAUAUAUAUUUUAAUUUUGUGUCUGAACAGUACAAUUUUGUUAGUAUUGUUACACUCUAAAGUCAGCUCCGUGUCUAUCUACUCAUAAAUUGUACGUCAUUUGUAUUUUUGUUAUCUGUGUUCAUGACAGAUUGUUUAUCGACGAUUAAAUCUAUAUGUAUGUAAAA